RNAcentral lists this non-coding RNA (302 nucleotides) under Oryctes borbonicus. RNAcentral describes it as "Eukaryotic large subunit ribosomal RNA". It matches the Rfam family "Eukaryotic large subunit ribosomal RNA", at positions 24 to 295 of the family's 3401-position model. The record is from Rfam by way of RNAcentral. Lineage: Eukaryota; Metazoa; Arthropoda; Insecta; Coleoptera; Scarabaeidae.
CCUGCCGAAUUUAAGCAUAUUACUAACCGGAGAAAAAGAAAUUAACUAGAAUUCCCUCAGUAGCGGCGAGAGAACAGAGAAUAACCCAGCGCCGAAUCCCGCGACUGGUUGAUGAACGCCGGGAAAUGUGGUGUUAGGAAAGAUCCGCCAUCCUGAGAUCGUUCGACGCGCCUAAGUCCUUCGUGAACGGGGUCACACACAUACAGGGUGCCAAGCUCGUAGUUGGCCGCCGUCGAUCGCGGGAGGUUCACUGCUCAGAGUCGAGCAGGAACCGGGCGAAGAUGGUUGAUCGUUCAAGGUCG